UACGUAGGGCGCAAGCGUUGUCCGGAAUUAUUGGGCGUAAAGAGCUCGUAGGUGGUUUGUCGCGUCUGCCGUGAAAGCCCGGGGCUUAACUCCGGGUCUGCGGUGGAUACGGGCAGACUAGAGGCAGGUAGGGGAGAACGGAAUUCCUGGUGUAGCGGUGAAAUGCGCAGAUAUCAGGAAGAACACCCGUGGCGAAGGCGGCUCUCUGGGACGGUACUGACGCUGAGACGCGAAAGCGUGGGGAGCGAACAGG
RNAcentral lists this ribosomal RNA (253 nucleotides) under uncultured bacterium. RNAcentral's name for it is "partial 16S ribosomal RNA". It matches the Rfam family "Bacterial small subunit ribosomal RNA", at positions 524 to 776 of the family's 1533-position model. The record is from RNAcentral.